CGUAGAGAAAUCGAGUCUUAAUAGGGCGUUUAGUUGCUGGGUAUAGACCCGAAACCAGGCGAUCUAUCCAUGAGCAGGUUGAAGGUUGGGUAACACUAACUGGAGGACCGAACCCACUGUCGUUGAAAAGCCAGGGGAUGACUUGUGGAUAGGGGUGAAAGGCUAAUCAAGCCUGGUGAUAGCUGGUUCUCCCCGAAAGCUAUUUAGGUAGCGCCUCGGACGAAUACCAUAGGGGGUAGAGCACUGUUUCGGCUAGGGGGUCAUCCCGACUUACCAAACCGAUGCAAACUCCGAAUACCUAUGAGUACUAUCCGGGAGACAGACUGCGGGUGCUAACGUCCGUAGUCAAGAGGAAAACAAUCCAGACCGCCAGCUAAGGCCCCAAAAUCAUAGUUAAGUGGGAAACGAUGUGGGAAGGCAUAGACAGCUAGGAGGUUGGCUUAGAAGCAGCCACCCUUUAAAGAAAGCGUAAUAGCUCACUAGUCGAGUCGGCCUGCGCGGAAGAUGUAACGGGGCUAAAACUAUGUGCCGAAGCUGCGGAUGUAUACUUUGUAUACGUGGUAGGGGAGCGUUCUGUAAGCCGAUGAAGGUGUGUUGAGAAGCAUGCUGGAGGUAUCAGAAGUGCGAAUGCUGACGUGAGUAACGACAAAACGGGUGAAAAACCCGUUCGCCGAAAGACCAAGGGUUCCAGUCCAACGUUAAUCGGGGCUGGGUGAGUCGACCCCUAAGGCGAGGCCGAAAGGCGUAGUCGAUGGGAAAAUGGUUAAUAUUCCAUUACUUCUGUGUAAUGCGAUGAGAGGACGGAGAAGGCUAAAUCAGCCUGGCGUUGGUUGUCCAGGUGAAAGGAUGUAGGCAUGUAUCUUAGGCAAAUCCGGGGUACUCUAUGCUGAGAUC
RNAcentral lists this ribosomal RNA (894 nucleotides) under Acinetobacter baumannii. RNAcentral's name for it is "partial 23S ribosomal RNA". It matches the Rfam family "Bacterial large subunit ribosomal RNA", at positions 667 to 1563 of the family's 2925-position model. The record is from RNAcentral. Lineage: Bacteria; Pseudomonadati; Pseudomonadota; Gammaproteobacteria; Moraxellales; Moraxellaceae.